This 367-nucleotide ribosomal RNA is filed under the name uncultured organism. Its description in RNAcentral is "bacterial LSU rRNA". It matches the Rfam family "Bacterial large subunit ribosomal RNA", at positions 2099 to 2465 of the family's 2925-position model. The record is from RNAcentral.
CUUUACUGUAGCUUUACAUUGGACUUUGAACAGAUCUGUGUAGGAUAGGUGGGAGGCUUUGAAGCGGUGCCGCUAGGUGUCGUGGAGCCAACGUUGAAAUACCACCCUGGUGUGUUUGAGGUUCUAACCUUGGCCCGUUAUCCGGGUUGGGGACAGUGUAUGGUGGGCAGUUUGACUGGGGCGGUCUCCUCCCAAAGCGUAACGGAGGAGUUCGAAGGUACGCUAGGCACGGUCGGAAAUCGUGCUGAUAGUGCAUUGGCAUAAGCGUGCUUGACUGCGAGACUGACAAGUCGAGCAGGUACGAAAGUAGGACAAAGUGAUCCGGUGGUUCUGUAUGGAAGGGCCAUCGCUCAACGGAUAAAAGGUA